AGUGAACGCUGGCGGCAUGCCUAACACAUGCAAGUCGAACGCAUCUUGGCAAUUUAUCGUCAAGGUGAGUGGCAGACGGGUGAGUAAGACGUGGGCAAUUUGCCUCGAAGCGGGGGAUAACCUUGGGAAACCAGGGCUAAUACCGCGUAAGACCACGGUCCGGCAUCGGACCGAGGCUAAAGUUCCGUAAGGGACGCUCCGAGGGAAGCUCACGACCUAUCAGCUAGUUGGCGGGGUAACGGCCCACCAAGGCGACGACGGGUAGGCGGUCUGAAAGGACGAUCGCCCACAAUGGCACUGAGACACGGGACAUACUCCUACGGGAGGCAGCAGUGGGGAAUAUUGGACAAUGGGCGCAAGCCUGCUCCAGCCAUACCGCGUGGGUGAAGAAGGCCUUCGGGUUGUAAAGCCCUUUUGUUGGGAAAGAAAUCCAGCUGGCUAAUACCCGGUUGGGAUGACGGUACCCAAAGAAUAAGCACCGGCUAACUUCGUGCCAGCCGCCGCCGUAA
Molecule: ribosomal RNA, 509 nt
Filed under: uncultured bacterium
Lineage: Bacteria
Description: partial 16S ribosomal RNA
Rfam family: Bacterial small subunit ribosomal RNA
Source: RNAcentral